AUUUAGUCAGAGAUUAUGCAGGGGAUUCAAUAAUGCGGUUAGUGGAUUUAUUGAUGAUGGUUGGACAAUUAUGGGUAGUGAUGGUGUUGAUGAUGUAACAAUUGCUGUAAACUCAUCACCAAGUAAAUUCCUUGAUGCACAAUACAACACCUUGUCAAUUCUCCCUACUUUUGGAGGAGUACUGUGUGCACGGGCAUCAAUGCUUCUUCAGGAUGUUUGCCCUGCUUUGCUUGUCCGUUUCCUUAGGGAGCACCGUUCGGA
Molecule: unclassified non-coding RNA, 261 nt
Filed under: Hevea brasiliensis (rubber tree)
Lineage: Eukaryota; Viridiplantae; Streptophyta; Magnoliopsida; Malpighiales; Euphorbiaceae
Source: RNAcentral